This 1070-nucleotide long non-coding RNA is filed under the name Betta splendens (Siamese fighting fish). RNAcentral's name for it is "lncRNA (ENSBSLG00000022698.1)". The record is from RNAcentral. Lineage: Eukaryota; Metazoa; Chordata; Actinopteri; Anabantiformes; Osphronemidae.
GUCACAUUGAGCAACAGUCUCCCCAUAGUGAGCCCCACCGUCCAUAUUGGAGGUCCUACCUUUAGCCUUGUUGUGGAAGGAUUGCGCCAUGUGGUUUGUCCUGGGCCUGGUGACGUGGAGUCUCUGCUUCUUAGGCCUCAGGUCUGUAGGCCUCACUUCCCUGUGGCUCAUUGUCCGGCUGUCGGUGUGCUUCCAGGUCCCGUUCCUGUCCAUCUGGUUUCUGGAGCAGAAAAAAACGCUCCCAGAGGCAUAAGGGGGUUUCAAUGUCCUCAGGUAGCACCAAGAAGUCACCAAACCUUUCUCCAGAGGUGCUGCUCAGAUCGACCGUGGGGCAGUGGGAUGGUCUCCCCCAGGUUGUGGUCCUCUCAGCAGGUCCCUUUUGGAUGGGCAGCAGAGGUCAGUUCUUUUUUGACAGGAUAUAGGGAAAUGAACCAAAGCUAUUCUAGCAGUCUGUCUUAUAUCGCAGGGACAGUAUGCCCAUAGUAGCUGUUAUUAUUUUAUUCUUUUGAGGCUGUCAUGUAUGUGGAGUUGAGUUGCAGUUUCUGUUCUGUAAGAAGGAAGCAAGAAGAGGGUAAAUUAUUUAGGGUUAGGCAGAAUGGGGAGAGAGGUAAGAGAUGGGGGAGAGUAAUUAGGGUUAGGAGGGGAUGAGGGGGUGGGGAGAUAGGUAGGAGGAUAUAAGUAAGGUUGGGGUCAGGCAGUAAAAGGGGGGAGGGUUGGGAUUAGGCAAGUUGGGUAAGGUAAGGGAGGGAUGGAGAAAGUGAGGUUGAUGAGAGGAAGUUAGAGAAUGGAUAGGAUGAGAAGGAGAGGAGACCUCGAAAGAGAGAGGGUUAGGGUUAGGGUUAGGAGGAGGGUGAGAACGGGGUCCCUGUUUUUUCCAGGGCCCCGGAGCUGCACAGUCCAUCCCCCGGGCUCCUGUUCCCCUCCUGUACCCCCACUGUAGUUCACCCGAGGUCAUGGGAGGACGGCGCCCCCUCUUCCCGUAUCGGACCUCGGUCCACUCAUUUUGAGCCCUGUGGCUCAUCACUGGUGUCGCCUUUGAUAUAUAUUAAUAAACCCAAACAAAACAUUCA